AAAAAGGUAGCUAUAACCAUCAAACGAAAGGAACGUGCCAUACGCAUACAUACAUAUGCAAGCAAACAUUUCUCUGCUGGUACUUAUGUCUGAGUCCCACACAGCCAAUGACAGCAAUCCCUGGAUGCUCCGUAAAGGAACUGGGCCAGACCUCCUGGACUGCACUGCAUCUGACUCACGCCACAUCAACUGACUCCGACCAGAGCCUCCAGUACUGGCUUCAAUCAAGUUAAGGAUUUCAACCUAGAUCUUCAAUCAAGCAAAUCCCAUCUAACAUGCACUGGAGAUAACCCGU
Molecule: non-coding RNA, 295 nt
Organism: Cricetulus griseus (Chinese hamster)
Lineage: Eukaryota; Metazoa; Chordata; Mammalia; Rodentia; Cricetidae
Source: RefSeq, a predicted model, not a curated record